GAAAUAUGAUGAUCAAAAAAAAGCUUCUAACUUUUUAUUUUAACGAUUUAAUUUCGUUUAUAUUUCU
This 67-nucleotide transfer RNA is filed under the name Taxonus zhangi. RNAcentral describes it as "tRNA-Ser". Lineage: Eukaryota; Metazoa; Arthropoda; Insecta; Hymenoptera; Tenthredinidae. The record is from RNAcentral.